This 73-nucleotide transfer RNA is filed under the name Myotis davidii. It matches the Rfam family "tRNA". From Rfam's summary of the family: Transfer RNA (tRNA) molecules are approximately 80 nucleotides in length. Their secondary structure includes four short double-helical elements and three loops (D, anti-codon, and T loops). The record is from Rfam by way of RNAcentral. Lineage: Eukaryota; Metazoa; Chordata; Mammalia; Chiroptera; Vespertilionidae.
GUCCGGGUAGCUCAGUUGGUUAGAGCGUCAGCCCAAUACAUCAAGGUUGUGGGUUCGAUCCCCAGUCAGGACA